UUAAUUGCAAGCAUUUUAAGAAUUUUCCUAAAAUUGAUAGGUUUCUUUAGACUUUGGAGUUUUCACUUUUAAUGAUGGGAGGGAUUUGUGUGUAAACUUUGGUUUUUUUGUUUUUAAAUACUUUCUUCACUUAUUACUAUUGAGAUUUAGUGUUAGGGUUUUGAUAUAUAAAGAGGUUUAAUGUUUAAUAGGGAGAAGACCUAGUGCUUCUUUAGACAUGAUCG
Molecule: unclassified non-coding RNA, 224 nt
Filed under: Hevea brasiliensis (rubber tree)
Lineage: Eukaryota; Viridiplantae; Streptophyta; Magnoliopsida; Malpighiales; Euphorbiaceae
Source: RNAcentral